RNAcentral lists this long non-coding RNA (290 nucleotides) under Malus domestica (apple). RNAcentral's name for it is "long non-coding RNA (MDOM_LNC018823)". Lineage: Eukaryota; Viridiplantae; Streptophyta; Magnoliopsida; Rosales; Rosaceae. The record is from RNAcentral.
CAUUCAAAGAAGCAAGAAUAAAGCUUGUAACAAUUACAACUUUUAAAUCACAAACUAUGAACUACAAAACACAAAAGGAUUCAACAACUACUAGACCUAGGCUCUGAUACCACUUGAAGGAUGAUUUUGUGAAAACAUGUUCAUUUAAGCAACAUCAAUAAGCAUGCAAUUAACAAUUAAAGGCGGAAUCAUGCUUGCAUGCACUUAAAAACAAAACAUUAACAAUGAAAUUCAAAGCCUAGUAGAUUGGUGAACCAAGACUCAACUCAAAUCAAAGUGAGUUGAGAAAU